CCCGGUCUCCGGUAGUGGCCUUCGGGAGCACGCGCGAGAUCCUCGCCCGACGCCCCCGCGGACCUCGAUCGAAGACCGGC
Molecule: regulatory RNA element, 80 nt
Rfam family: Actino-pnp RNA
Source: Rfam